AGUCGCUUAACCAACUGAGCCACCCAGGCGCCCCUGAAGAUUUCUUUCUUGGUCACAAUCUCUCUGGUUGCAUCUGUGUUUCAGGUGUACAGAGACCAAUAAAGAAGACACCUGACCUGGUGUAAGCAUCCCCCACGUUCAGGCGCUCCAGGCUAGCCUCUCUGUGUGGGAGCGUGAAGCCGAACAAUCAACACACUCCAGCUGAUGCAAGCAUUUUCCAUGGUCAAAAGGUCUGUGAUUUCCUGCAUGCUCUGAGCAUAGAGAUGAAUAAUGGACGCACUCACGGUGAUUUAAACAUUCUUCCGUGACCACAAGUUCUAUGGCUGUGUCUAUGUGUUGGAGA
Leptonychotes weddellii (Weddell seal) is the source of this 343-nucleotide non-coding RNA. The record is from RefSeq and is a predicted model, not a curated record. Lineage: Eukaryota; Metazoa; Chordata; Mammalia; Carnivora; Phocidae.